Molecule: non-coding RNA, 31 nt
Filed under: Homo sapiens (human)
Lineage: Eukaryota; Metazoa; Chordata; Mammalia; Primates; Hominidae
Source: RNAcentral
UCCCAUGAUGGUGAUUCUUAAUUAGCAGGGC